Molecule: non-coding RNA, 1439 nt
Organism: Paramuricea clavata
Lineage: Eukaryota; Metazoa; Cnidaria; Anthozoa; Malacalcyonacea; Plexauridae
Source: the annotation of a GenBank genome assembly
UUUGUGGUGUUACUCUGAGUGUAUAUCCACACCGGGCGAGCUUGAAAAACAUGCCCGGCCACGGUGGGAUUCGAACCUACGACCUUUGGAAUACUAGCCCAAUGCUCUUCCAACUGAGCCACGCGGUCAGGACGGUUCGAGGAAGUGAUAUUUCGGAACAGAAUCUAGUUCCUUCGAUACCAAUGUAUUCUAGUAAUAUGAAUUUUUUUCUGUGUUGGUGUAGUGUACUCAGGUGAAUAUGAUAUUUGUGGUGUUACUCUGAGUAUAUAUCCACACCGGGCGAGCUUGAAAAAUAUGCCCGGCCACGGUGGGAUUCGAACCUACGACCUUUGGAAUACUAGCCCAAUGCUCUUCCAACUGAGCUACGCGGUCAGGACGGUUCGAGUAAGUGAUAUUUCGGAACAGUAUCUAGUUCCUUCUAUACCAACGUGUUCUUACUAAUAUGAAUUUUUCUGCGCUGGUGCUGUGCACUCAGGUGAAUAAUAUGUUUGCGAUGUUACUCUGAGUGCAUAUCCACACCGGGCGAGCCCGAAAAACACGCCCGGCCACGGUGGGAUUCGAACCUACGACCUUUGGAAUACUAGCCCAAUGCUCUUCCAACUGAGCUACGCGGUCAGGACGGUUCGAGUAAGUGAUAUUUCGGAACAGAAUCUAGUUCCUUCGAUACCAAUGUAUUCUAGUAAUAUGAAUUUUUUCUGUAUUGGUGUAGUGUACUCAGGUGAAUAUGAUAUUUGUGGUGUUACUCUGAGUGUAUAUCCACACCGGGCGAGCUUGAAAAAUAUGCCCGGCCACGGUGGGAUUCGAACCUACGACCUUUGGAAUACUAGCCCAAUGCUCUUCCAACUGAGCUACGCGGUCAGGACGGUUCGAGUAUUCCAAAGGUCGUAGGUUCGAAUCCCACCGUGGCCGGGCAUAUUUUUCAAGCUCGCCCGGUGUGGAUAUACACUCAGAGUAACACCACAAAUAUCAUAUUCACCUGAGUACACUACACCAACACAGAAAAAAUUCAUAUUACUAGAAUACAUUGGUAUCGAAGGAACUAGAUUCUGUUCCGAAAUAUCACUUACUCGAACCGUCCUGACGGCGUAGCUCAGUUGGAAGAGCAUUGGGCUAGUAUUCCAAAGGUCGUAGGUUCGAAUCCCACCGUGGCCGGGCAUAUUUUUCAAGCUCGCCCGGUGUGGAUAUACACUCAGAGUAACACCACAAAUAUCAUAUUCACCUGAGUACACUACACCAACAUAGAAAAAAAUUCAUAUUACUAGAAUACAUUGGUAUCGAAGGAACUAGAUUCUGUUCCGAAAUAUCACUUACUCGAACCGUCCUGACCGCGUAGCUCAGUUGGAAGAGCAUUGGGCUAGUAUUCCAAAGGUCGUAGGUUCGAAUCCCACCGUGGCCGGGCAUAUUUUUCAAGCUCGCCCGGUGUGGAUAUACACUCAGAG